Molecule: unclassified non-coding RNA, 1042 nt
Filed under: Hevea brasiliensis (rubber tree)
Lineage: Eukaryota; Viridiplantae; Streptophyta; Magnoliopsida; Malpighiales; Euphorbiaceae
Source: RNAcentral
AUGUAUUAGAAACACAAUGCAAGAAAUCCAAAGACUAAUCUUCAAAUUAACAAUGAAUCUAUGCCAGAGAUGGGAACUUUGCCUUUGCAUCAAUAAUUUUCUUAGUUCAUAACAAAAUCAAAUUCACCUAAAUAUCAUAUAUGUACAAUUCUAAAAAUCAAAUUUCAUAUUUCCCGAUAAAACUAUGCAUAAAUUGAUUCAAUUAUGAAGCAUAAAUAUCACAAGAAAUUAAGAAAUUCAUGUAUGGAUGAUGAAUGGCAAAAAUGGAGUAAAACCCACAUCAAAAAGCAUAAUUGAGAAAUGUGUGUAUACAGUGAAGAACUGAAGUGACAUUGAAAAAAGAGAGGGGAGGGAGACAAAGAGAGACCCUUUGAAUUCAAUAAAGGAGUUUAGAGGGGGAAAAACCAUUAAUGAAGAUAGAUCCACACUGAUUAGAAAAUUAGGAAGAAAAUUCUAAUAAAAUUUCAAAAUUUACAAAACCAAUAAAAACAGCAAAUACUUUGUCUUGGAAGACAUUUUGGUUAUUGAUGAUGAUGAUGAUAUAGAAAUGAAGUGGAAAAUGGAAAGGAGUGGAAAAUUGUGAGUUUAAGUAAAUGAGGAUUUUAUGGAGAGAAUUUUCAUGAGAAAGAAACGAUGUGCAUCAGAGGAAAUAAAUGAGAGAGGGAGGAAUACGCAUGGUGGAAAGAGGAAAAAAAGAAAAUAGUCAACUGGACUUGCCACAUCAGCAAUAAACCUUUAAACUGGUAGUUGUAGAUAAUUUGGGGUUUAUUGUUACUUCAACUGUUGUUUAGGGGAUUUUAAGUUACAAAUUAAAGUUCAACACUGUGUUUUGAUGGGUUCAGUUUCUAUCAUGUUCAAAUUGAUGGUCAAGUCAGGCCAAGCUAGCAUGUUAUUUGUUGAGUUGAAUACAAUCGUUGCUUUAUCUAAAUGAUUGCUUGAAAGUUAAACACGACUUUGAUUAAAUUAAAGAAAUUUGCAGUGUUCUUCAAAAUGGAAAAGUUGCAAAAUCAUAUAAAAGAUGCAUAUUUGUCUGCACUUUUUU